Molecule: ribosomal RNA, 357 nt
Filed under: uncultured fungus
Lineage: Eukaryota; Fungi
Description: bacterial SSU rRNA
Rfam family: Eukaryotic small subunit ribosomal RNA
Source: RNAcentral
UGUAGUCAUAUGCUUGUCUCAAAGACUAAGCCAUGCAUGUCUAAGUAUAAACACCUUUAUACUGCGAAACUGCGAACGGCUCAUUAUAUCAGUUAUAAUCUACUUGAUCGUAUCCUCUUACUUGGAUAACCGUAGUAAUUCUAGAGCUAAUACAUGCAAAAGAUCCCGACUGGUGACGGAAGGGAUGUAUUUAUUAGGUCCAAAAUCAAUGCUGGCCAUUCGGUCAGGAAAGUUGAUGAUUCAUAAUAACUAAACGAAGCGCAGGCCUCGCGUCGGCGCUGAUACAAACGAGUUUCUGCCCUAUCAACUUUCGAUGGUAGUAUAGGGGGCUACCAUGGUCGUAACGGGUAACGGGGA